This 425-nucleotide ribosomal RNA is filed under the name uncultured bacterium. RNAcentral describes it as "partial 16S ribosomal RNA". It matches the Rfam family "Bacterial small subunit ribosomal RNA", at positions 354 to 796 of the family's 1533-position model. The record is from RNAcentral.
GUGGGGAAUCUUGCGCAAUGGGCGAAAGCCUGACGCAGCCAUGCCGCGUGAAUGAUGAAGGUCUUAGGAUUGUAAAAUUCUUUCACCGGGGACGAUAAUGACGGUACCCGGAGAAGAAGCUCCGGCUAACUUCGUGCCAGCAGCCGAGGUAAUACGAAGGGGGCUAGCGUUGCUCGGAAUUACUGGGCGUAAAGGGCGCGUAGGCGGACAGCUUAGUCAGAGGUGAAAGCCCAGGGCUCAACCUUGGAAUUGCCUUUGAUACUGGCUGUCUUGAGUUUGGGAGAGGUGAGUGGAACUCCGAGUGUAGAGGUGAAAUUCGUAGAUAUUCGGAAGAACACCAGUGGCGAAGGCGACUCACUGGCCCAAUACUGACGCUGAGGCGCGAAAGCGUGGGGAGCAAACAGGAUUAGAAACCCUUGUAGUCC